RNAcentral lists this transfer RNA (73 nucleotides) under Tylopilus plumbeoviolaceoides. RNAcentral describes it as "tRNA-Asp". It matches the Rfam family "tRNA". Rfam says of the family: Transfer RNA (tRNA) molecules are approximately 80 nucleotides in length. Their secondary structure includes four short double-helical elements and three loops (D, anti-codon, and T loops). Further hydrogen bonds mediate the characteristic L-shaped molecular structure. tRNAs have two regions of fundamental functional importance: the anti-codon, which is responsible for specific mRNA codon recognition, and the 3' end, to which the tRNAs corresponding amino acid is attached (by aminoacyl-tRNA synthetases). tRNAs cope with the degeneracy of the genetic code in two manners: having more than one tRNA (with a specific anti-codon) for a particular amino acid; and 'wobble' base-pairing, i.e. permitting non-standard base-pairing at the 3rd anti-codon position. The record is from RNAcentral. Lineage: Eukaryota; Fungi; Basidiomycota; Agaricomycetes; Boletales; Boletaceae. RNAcentral also lists the same sequence under 1 other name.
GGGUCCUUAGCUUAAUAGGUAGAGUUUCUAAUUGUCACUUAGUUGGAUACCAGUUCGAAUCUGGUAGGUCUCG